Molecule: ribosomal RNA, 179 nt
Filed under: uncultured beta proteobacterium
Lineage: Bacteria; Pseudomonadati; Pseudomonadota; Betaproteobacteria
Description: partial 16S ribosomal RNA
Rfam family: Bacterial small subunit ribosomal RNA
Source: RNAcentral
CGAAAGUUGCGCUAAUACCGCAUACGCCCUGAGGGGGAAAGCGGGGGACCGUAAGGCCUCGCGCGAUUAGAGCGGCCGAUGUCUGAUUAGCUUGUUGGUGAGGUAAAAGCUCACCAAGGCGAUGAUCAGUAGCUGGUCUGAGAGGACGAUCAGCCACACUGGGACUGAGACACGGCCCA